Molecule: long non-coding RNA, 1484 nt
Filed under: Vulpes vulpes (red fox)
Lineage: Eukaryota; Metazoa; Chordata; Mammalia; Carnivora; Canidae
Description: lncRNA (ENSVVUG00000030336.1)
Source: RNAcentral
CUUUAAGAAGAUUAGAAAGAACAAGAUAAAUCUGGGCGGGGUGUAAUUUAGUCUUAGUUGUCAAUUCAUGUGUCUAUUUUGAUGGAGAUGACUGUUACAGUUGGUUGAACCCAGUGAUCUUGCAAUGGUUUCUUUUCUCCAAAAUGGAAUUUCUCCAGGACUUGGUAGUUUGCCUUCUUAAAGUACAACUACUCUCCAGGUAUCGACCCGCUACCUCAUCAGAAAAGCAGAACAUUCAGAGCUAAGAGGAGGUCAGCAGCUACUCGUGUAUUCCUCUUACUUCACAAUGAAGAGGUGGUGAUAUAUUCAUGAGAGAGCAAGAGAUCAGAGUUGGCAUCGGCAGAAUCAGGACUAGAACUCCAGACUGGAAGUCAGUACCCGGUCUCCCGACUCUCUCUAUACCAGUGGGCUCAUUUUUCCAGUCUUUGCCAUCCUUUCAACACACACCAGAGAAGUCCCUGGCCUUCAAGAGAAUGCUGUGCUCGCAGAUCAGAGGUAUACUGUGUUCCUCUUCUAUUUAGGCACCUCCAUAUAUCAUUGAAAACUUGGAAAGAAGUUUUUUGAGUAGCUGCACAAGAUUUCGUUGUAUGUGUACACCACGAUUUAUGGAUCUACGGCUUCAUUUUUACACAUUUCUGUAACACGUUUUUGCUAUGCUGAAAACUCUGUGCUAAAAAUUCUUUUGACAUUUUGAAUUAUUUCCUACAAAAUAUCCAUAAUCAAGUUUUAUGGUAAUACUUUUGGUCAUUUCCAUAUUCUACAAACUUAAAUUUUAAAAAAGAAAAGCUUUCCAAAGAACAUUCCUUGCACUAACAAUCCUUAUUUAUAAGAGAGAUGAAAUGAAGUAUUCCCCUUUUAUAGCAUCCUACAAUGUGGAAUUCUACAAUCGUUUUUUAUUAAUAUUUAUAUUUGCCCAGAAAAUAUUUUAAUUUCCCUUUGUUGGAAUCUGCUAUAGAGUUCCAAGAGAAGAGAAACCUUCUCCAUGUUGGCUGCCAGGACCAGGUCGGGAGUCUUGUUCCCAUGGGCCUCCUGGGGUACUGGAGUCUGAGCUUUAGCUCCUUCUUGUGGGGUUGCCUCUCACCUGCCCUACCUUCCCUCCACCACCACCCGCCCCCCAACCCCCCACCCCGCCUUGGGAGACAGGCCUCUCAAGAACAAAUCACUCCUGAAAGGCCAAUGACAUAGGCUAGGGUGCCAAGCCACGGUGUGAGUUUCUGAAGAAACACCACACUGACUAAGCCAUUGAAAUGGAUAAUCUGGGGGUGCCUAGGUACCUCAGCUGGUGGAGUGCUCAACUCUUGCUUCUGCUUGGGUCAUGAUCCCGGGGCUCUAGGACCGAGCCCUGCAUGGGGCUCCACGCUCAGUAAGGAUCUGCUCAAGAUCGUCUCUCUCCCUCUCUGCCCCUCCAUCCACUAGCUCUCUCUCUCUUUCUCUCUCUCUCUCAAAUGAAUAAAUAAAUCUUGAAAAAAAAAAAGGAAGAAAUG